UCGUAAAAGUAGAAUGUGAUUUAAUGCACUUGUCCUCUGACUUAUUUUCUGCUUAACAUAGUAAUCACUCUGAAUACUGACUACAUCUUCAUUUUAUGUUCUAAAGAAAAUAAUGAGUUCUAGUUUAAAAUAAUACCUGGUUAGCAGCAGUUACAGCCUUGCCCAGUUUGUCACUAAAAUACUUGAUGAUGUACAAAAGAAAAAAAGACAGAAUCACAUAAUACUGGGAAUAAUAGUUAAGGUUGCCUGAACUUGAGAGUUAUUUUUACUAAUCAUAAGGCCAUUGAAUUUUUUGGCCAUAUGUAGUAAUGAAAAUAAGAAGGAAAAUUGUCCUUUUUACAUCACCCUUACUCUCUGCUCACUCUCCUACCUUUCCUACAUCUAAGUCCCAUAUGCCCUGAAUUUAGAAAUGCAAGGUCUGUACCAACCAAAUAACUAAGAAGCUGGCCCUCCUCCAUGAUCCUACCAUAACAGUACUUCCCAUUCUUCAUCCAAAUACUAGAAUCCUCUAAACCAAAACAGAAUAAUAGAGGCUGGCAGUGGCACAUGGAAUGGUGUUAUAAAUGUAUAUCCAUCACCCUUCCUAUUAAAACUAUAAUAGCAUUCACUGAUAAAUGGGGAAUUUGAGGAGAUGCCUCUUAUACAAUUUUGGAGCUAAUAGGCCAUAAUAUGCUUAUUCAAAGAUGCAUAAACAGGAAAAAUGUAAAAAGAUUAUAAAAAACCAUCCCAGUGUCUAUGUGCCAAAUGUGGAAGCACCCAAAUAUAUAAAUCAAUUAAUCACAAACAUAAAGAAACUCAUCAAUAGUAAUACCAUAAUAGUAGGAGACUUCAACAUCCCACCCACAGCAAUGGACAGAUCAUCUAAUCAAAAAAUCAACAAGGAAACAAUGACUUUGAAUGACACAUUGGAUGGACCAGAUGGACUUAACAGAUAUAUUCAGAACAUUUCAUCCUAAAGCAGCAGAGUAUACAUUCUUCUCCAGUGCACUUGGAACAUUCUCCAGAAUAGACCAUGUACUGGGACACAAAUCAGCCCUAAGUAAGUUCAAAAAGAUUGAGAUCAUACCAUGCAUAUUUUCAGACCACAAUGCUAUGAAACUCGAAAUCAACCACAAGAAAAAAUUUGUAAAGGUAGCAAAUACUUGGAGACUGAAGAACAUCCUAUUAAAGAAUGUAUGGGCUAACCAAGCAGUUAAAGAAGAAAUUAAAAAGUGUAUAGAAGUCAAUGAAAAUGAUAGCACCACAACCCAAAACCUCUGGGACGCAGCAAAGGCGGUCAUAAGAGGAAAGUAUAUAGCAAUCCAGGCCUUCGUAAAGAAGGAAGAAAGAUCUCAGAUACACAACUUAACCUUACACCUUAAGGAGCUGGAAAAAGAACAGCAAAUAAAACCCCAAACUAGCAGAAGACAGGAAAAAAUAAAGAUUAGAGCAGAAAUUAAUGCUAUCGAAACCAAAAAAAACAGUAGAACAGAUCAAUGAAACCAGAAGCUGGUUCUUUGAAAGAAUUAACAAAAUUGAUAAACCACUAGCCAGUUUGAUCAAGAAGAAAAAGGAAAGGACCCAAAUAAGUAAAAUCAAGAAUGAAAGAGGAGAAAUCACAACCAAUGCAACAGAAAUAAAAACAAUAAUAAGAAAAUAUUAUAAGCAAUUAUAUGCCAAUAAAAUGGGCAGUCUGGAAAAAUGGACAAAUUCCUAGAAACAUAUACACUACCAAAACUGAAAGAGGAAGAAAUAGAAAAUUUGAACAGACUGAUAACCAGUAAGGAAACUGAAUUAGUAAUAAAAAAUCUGCCAAAAAAACGAGAGUCCAGGGCCAGAUGGCUUUCCAGGGGAAUUCUACCAAACAUUUAAGGAAGAGUUAACACCUAUUCUCUUGAAGCUGUUCCAAAAAAUAGAAAUGGAAGGAAAACUUCUAAACUCUUUCUAUGAGGCCAGCAUUACCUUGAUUCCAAAACCAGACAGAGACCCCACUAAAAAGGAGAACUAUAGACCAAUUUCCCUGAUGAACAUGGAUGCAAAAAUCCUCAACAAGGUAUUAGCCAACCAGAUCCAACAAUACAUUAAAAAAAUUAUUCACCAUGACCAAGUGGGAUUUAUACCUGUGAUGCAGGGCUGGCUCAAUAUCCACAAAACAAUCAGUGUGAUUCAUCACACCAAUAAAAGAAAGGACAAGAACCAUAUGAUCCUCUCAAUAGAUGCAGAGAAAGCAUUUGACAAAAUAGAGCAGCCUUUCUUGAUGAAAACCAUCAAGAAAGUAGGGAUAGAAGGAUCAUACCUCAAGAUGACAAAAAGCCAUAUAUGAGUGAUCCAAUGCUAGUAUCAUCCUCAUUGGGGAAAAACUGAGAGCUUUUCCCCUAAGGUCAGGAACAAGACAGGGAUGUCCACUCUCGCCACUGUUAUUCAACAUAGUAUGGGAAGUCUUAGCCUCUGCAAUCUGACAACACAAAGAAAUAAAAGGCAUCCACAUCGGCCAGGAGGAGGUCAAACUUUCACUCUUCACAGAUGACAUGAUACUCUAUACGGAAUACCCAAAAGAUUCCACCAAAAAACUGCUAGAACUUAUUCAUGAAUUCAGCAAAGUUGCAGGAUAUAAAAUCAAUGCACAGAAAUUGUUUGCAUUCCUAUACACCAACACUGAAGCAACACAAAGAGAAAUCAAGGAAUCGAUCCCAUUUACAGUUGCACAAAAAACCAUAAGAUACCUAGGAAUAAAUCUAACCAGAGAGGUGAAAAAUCUAUACAUUGAAAACUAUAGAAAGCUUAUGAAAGAAAUUGAAGAAGACACAAAGAAAUGGAAAAAGAUUCCAUGCUCCUGGAUAGGAAGAACAAGUAUUGUUAAAAUGUUGAUACUACCCAAAGCAAUCUACAUAUUCAACGCAAUCCCUAUCAAAGUAACACCAGCAUUCUUCACAGAGCUAGAAUAAUCCUAAAAUUUGUAUGGAACCAGAAAAGACCCCGAAUAGCCAAAGCAGUCUUGAAAAAGAAAACCAAAGCAGGAGGCAUCACAAUCCCAGACUUCAAGCUAUACUACAAAUCUGUAAUCAUCAAGACAGUAUGGUACUGGCACAAGAACAGACACUCAGAUCAAUGAAAUAGAAUAGAGAACCCAGAAAUGGACCCACAAACGUAUGGCCAACUAAUCUUUGACAAAGCAGGAAAGAAUAUCCAAUGGAAUAAAGACAGUCUCUUCAGCAAGUGAUGCUGGGAAACUGGACGGCGACAUGCAGAAGAAUGAACAUGGACCACUAUCUUACACCAUACACAAAAAUAAACUCAAAGUGGAUGAAAGACCUCAAUGUAAGACAGGAAGCCAUCAAAAUCCUCGAGGAGAAAGCAGGCAAAAACCUCUUUGAUCUUGGCCGCAGCAAGUUCUUACUCAACACAUCUGCGGAGGCAAGGGAAACAAAAGCAAAAAUGAACUACUGGGACCUCAUCAAAAUAAAAAGCUUCUGCACAGCUAAGGAAACAAUCAGCAAAACUAAAAGGCAACUGACAGAAUGGGAGAAGAUAUUUGCAAAUGACAUAUCAGAUAAAGGGUUAGUAUCCAAAAUCUACAAAGAACUUAUCAAACUCAACACCCAAAACACAAAGAAUCCAGUGAGGAAAUGGGCAAAAGACAUGAAUAAACACUUCUCCAAAGAAGACAUCCAGAUGGCCGACUGACACAUGAGAAAAUGCUCAACAUCACUCAUCAUCAGGGAAAUACAAAUCAAAACCACAAUGAGAUACCACCUCACACCUGUCAGAAUGGCUAACAUUAACAACUCAGGCAAUUAACGAUGUUGGUGAGGAUGCAGAGAAAGAGCAUCUCUUUUGCAUUGUUGGUGGGAAUGCAAGCUGGUACAGGCCACUCUGGAAAACAGUAUGGAGGUUUCUCAAAAAACUAAAACCAGAACUACCCUACGACCCAGCAAUUGCACUAUUAGGCAUUUAUCCAAGGGAUACAGGUGUGCUGUUUCAAAGGGACACAUGCACCCCCAUGUUUAUAGCAGCACUAUCAACAAUAGCCAAAGUAUGGAAAGAGCCCAAAUGUCCAUCGAUGGAUGAAUGGAGAAAGAACAUGUGGUAUAUAUAUAUACAGUGGAGUGUUACUCGGCAAUCAAAAAGAAUGAAAUCUUGCCAUUUGCAACUACGUGGAUGGAACUGGAGGGUAUUAUGCUAAGUGAAAUUAGUCAGAGAAAGACAAAAAUCAUAGGACUUCACUCAUAUGAGGACUUUAAGAGACAAAACAGAU
Neofelis nebulosa (Clouded leopard) is the source of this 4234-nucleotide long non-coding RNA. RefSeq lists it as uncharacterized. NCBI's taxonomy places the organism in Eukaryota, Metazoa, Chordata, Mammalia, Carnivora, Felidae. The record is from RefSeq and is a predicted model, not a curated record. The transcript has 2 exons.